Molecule: ribosomal RNA, 699 nt
Filed under: uncultured bacterium
Lineage: Bacteria
Description: bacterial SSU rRNA
Rfam family: Bacterial small subunit ribosomal RNA
Source: RNAcentral
AGAGUUUGAUCCUGGCUCAGAACGAACGCUGGCGGCGUGCCUAACACAUGCAAGUCGAACGAGAAAGCGGGCUUCGGCCCGUUAGUAGAGUGGCAGACGGGUGAGUAACACGUGGGUAACCUGUCCGGAGGCGGGGGAUAACCCUUCGAAAGGAGGGCUAAUACCGCAUAAUACUCGCCGGGCUUCGGCCUGGCGAAUCAAAGCUUGCCUCUACAUGUAAGCAAGCACCACCGGAGGGGCCCGCGGCCCAUUAGCUUGUUGGCGAGGUAACGGCUCACCAAGGCGACGAUGGGUAGCCGGCCUGAGAGGGCGAUCGGCCACACUGGAACUGAGACACGGUCCAGACUCCUACGGGAGGCAGCAGUGAGGAAUUUUGCGCAAUGGGGGAAACCCUGACGCAGCGACGCCGCGUGGAGGACGAAGGCCUUCGGGUCGUAAACUCCUGUCAAGUGGGACGAAUCCGAGGAGAUGAAUAAGCUUUUCGGUUGACGGUACCAUUGAAGGAAGCCCCGGCUAACUCCGUGCCAGCAGCCGCGGUAAUACGGGGGGGGCUAGCGUUGUUCGGAAUUAUUGGGCGUAAAGGGCGCGUAGGCGGCCUGGUAAGUCGGACGUGAAAUCCCGCGGCUCAACCGCGGAACUGCGUUCGAAACUGCCAGGCUUGAGUCCCGGAGAGGGUAGCGGAAUUCCCAGUGUAGCGGU